This is a small nucleolar RNA of Panicum hallii, 139 nucleotides long. RefSeq annotates it as small nucleolar RNA Z247. The transcript has a single exon. The record is from RefSeq and is a predicted model, not a curated record. Lineage: Eukaryota; Viridiplantae; Streptophyta; Magnoliopsida; Poales; Poaceae.
UCGCUUGAAGAUGAAGAAUUGAUCGAGUAUAUCAUCACUGGAUUGGGCGAAGAUUUUAAUCCCCUUGUCACAUCUCUCUGCACUCGUGUGGAGCCGAUCUCUCUUGGUGAGUUUUAUUCACAGCUUCUCAGCUUCGAGA